CGAGAAGGUAGCUUCGGUUACUGGACAGUGGCGGACGGGUGAGUAACACGUGGGAACAUGCCUUUCAGUACGGAACAACGCCUGGAAACGGGUGCUAAUACCGUAUACGCCCUUAGGGGGAAAGAUUUAUCGCUGAAAGAUUGGCCCGCGCUAGAUUAGCUAGUUGGUAAGGUAACGGCUUACCAAGGCGACGAUCUAUAGCUGGUUUGAGAGGAUGAUCAGCCACACUGGGACUGAGACACGGCCCAGACUCCUACGGGAGGCAGCAGUGGGGAAUAUUGGACAAUGGGGGCAACCCUGAUCCAGCGAUGCCGCGUGAGUGAUGAAGGCCUUAGGGUUGUAAAACUCUUUCAGGGGUGAAGAUAAUGACGGUAACCCCAGAAGAAGCUCCGGCUAACUCCGUGCCAGCAGCCGCGGUAAUACGGAGGGAGCUAGCGUUGUUCGGAAUUACUGGGCGUAAAGCGCGCGUAGGCGGCUUGGCAAGUAGAGGGUGAAAUCCCGGGGCUUAACCUCGGAACUGCCUCCUAAACUGCCGAGCUAGAAUCCUGGAGAGGUGAGUGGAAUUCCUAGUGUAGAGGUGAAAUUCGUAGAUAUUAGGAAGAACACCAGUGGCGAAGGCGACUCACUGGACAGGUAUUGACGCUGAGGUGCGAAAGCGUGGGGAGCGAACAGGAUUAGAUACCCUGGUAGUCCACGCCGUAAACGAUGGGUGCUAGGUG
This 719-nucleotide ribosomal RNA is filed under the name Kordiimonas sp. AU418_Ted2_MB20. RNAcentral's name for it is "bacterial SSU rRNA". It matches the Rfam family "Bacterial small subunit ribosomal RNA", at positions 67 to 822 of the family's 1533-position model. The record is from RNAcentral. RNAcentral also lists the same sequence under 1 other name. Lineage: Bacteria; Pseudomonadati; Pseudomonadota; Alphaproteobacteria; Kordiimonadales; Kordiimonadaceae.